ACGAACGCUGGCGGCGUGCUUAACACAUGCAAGUCGAACGGAAAGGCCUCUUUCGGGGGGUACUCGAGUGGCGAACGGGUGAGUAACACGUGAGUAACCUGCCCUUGACUUUGGGAUAACUUCAGGAAACUGGGGCUAAUACCGGAUAGGAGCUCCUGCUGCAUGGUGGGGGGUGGAAAGUUUCGGCGGUUGGGGAUGGACUCGCGGCUUAUCAGCUUGUUGGUGGGGUAGUGGCUUACCAAGGCUUUGACGGGUAGCCGGCCUGAGAGGGUGACCGGCCACAUUGGGACUGAGAUACGGCCCAGACUCCUACGGGAGGCAGCAGUGGGGAAUAUUGCACAAUGGGUGGAAGCCUGAUGCAGCAACGCCGUGUGCGGGAUGACGGCCUUCGGGUUGUAAACCGCUUUCGCUCAUGACGAAGCUUUGUGUGACGGUAGUGGGUAAAGAAGCACCGGCUAACUACGUG
RNAcentral lists this ribosomal RNA (466 nucleotides) under uncultured bacterium. RNAcentral describes it as "partial 16S ribosomal RNA". It matches the Rfam family "Bacterial small subunit ribosomal RNA", at positions 29 to 507 of the family's 1533-position model. The record is from RNAcentral.